This 301-nucleotide ribosomal RNA is filed under the name uncultured bacterium. RNAcentral describes it as "partial 16S ribosomal RNA". It matches the Rfam family "Bacterial small subunit ribosomal RNA", at positions 509 to 808 of the family's 1533-position model. The record is from RNAcentral.
CAGCCGCCGCGGUAAGACGAACCGUGCGAACGUUAUUCGGAAUCACUGGGCUUAAAGCGUGUGUAGGCGGGAGGGCACGUCCGUCGCUGAAAUCCCCCGGCUCAACCGGGGAACGGGCGCGGAUACGACUCUUCUGGAGGAACGUAGGGGGACCUGGAACUUCCGGUGGAGAGGUGAAAUUCGUAGAUAUUCGCAGGAACACCAGUGGCGAAGGCGGCUAACUGGUCCGUAACUGACGCUGAGGUGCGAAAGCGUGGGGAGCAAACAGGACUAGAUACCCGUGUAGUCCCUGUCUCUUAUA